This 29-nucleotide non-coding RNA is filed under the name Rattus norvegicus (Norway rat). The record is from RNAcentral. Lineage: Eukaryota; Metazoa; Chordata; Mammalia; Rodentia; Muridae.
UAGGAACUACCGCUGCUUCAGUAUCCGAU